GACGAACGCUGGCGGCGUGCUUAACACAUGCAAGUCGAACGGAAAGGCCCUGCUUUUGUGGGGUGCUCGAGUGGCGAACGGGUGAGUAACACGUGAGUAACCUGCCCUUGACUUUGGGAUAACUUCAGGAAACUGGGGCUAAUACCGGAUAGGAGCUCCUGCUGCAUGGUGGGGGUUGGAAAGUUUCGGCGGUUGGGGAUGGACUCGCGGCUUAUCAGCUUGUUGGUGGGGUAGUGGCUUACCAAGGCGUUGACGGGUAGCCGGCCUGAGAGGGUGACCGGGGAGAGGGGGAGAGAGAUGGAGGCGGGCCGGCUACGGGAGGGAGCAGUGCGGAAGGUGGAGCGAUGGGCGGGGGCCGGAAGCAGGGUAGCAGCGUGGGGGAGGCUGGGGUUGGGGUAGUAAGCCUGUAACCGCAGGGAAGAAGCGUGAGUGAGGGUACGGGAAGAAGAAGCACCGGCCAGCUACGUG
This 468-nucleotide ribosomal RNA is filed under the name uncultured bacterium. RNAcentral describes it as "partial 16S ribosomal RNA". It matches the Rfam family "Bacterial small subunit ribosomal RNA", at positions 28 to 507 of the family's 1533-position model. The record is from RNAcentral.